GUCUCGUAGUUUGGCGCCAGAGGCUGGGCCACACAGGCUGGAGGGGGAAGCUGCUUUGCUGGGCGUCGCCGUGGCAACGCGCGCGGUCGUUUCCGGGAGCCCUGGCUGAGCAGGUGCUGGGAGCAGCGGAACGAAAGGCGGACAGACCUCAGUUGCUCCGACGGACUUGAGCCCAUCAGUCCGUUCUUUCAAGUUUCCCCCACCCCCGACCUAGGUGCUUGCAAGUUCAGGUUCUUCUGCUUCUUAGCGUCGCGGCUGGCCCAUCUUAGAGGCUGAGUGAGGACUCUACUUUCCUCAGAUUUGUUGAUCUACAGAAUGCUUCGCUAUUCAUAUUUUUGUAGAACGCACAAAGGACUGUUUUACUGCUGGGUGGAGUCUGGUGCAUUUAAUUUGGGUGUCUGUCCCCAAGCAAUGCACACUACGGCAGCAGUCCAUACUGAAUGUGAAUCCCUGGGAGAGACAGCUCUGUGUGGCACUAGGGAGGUACAUAGAUCUGCAGAGAAAGAUCCGGAAGCCAUGGCUAAAUUACAUAUUCCAGUAAUGGUGGAUGAAGUUGUUCAUUGCUUGACACCACAAAAAGGGCAGGUUUUUCUAGAUAUGACAUUUGGUUCAGGAGGACACACAAAAGCCAUUCUGCAGAAGGAACCCGAUAUUACUGUCUAUGCUUUAGACCGAGACCCAACAGCUUAUGCACUUGCUGAGCAGCUUUCCGAAGUGUAUCCGAAACAACUCCAAGCUAUGUUGGGCCAAUUCAGCGAGGCAGAGACUUUGUUAAUAAAAGCUGGAGUGCAGCCAGGGUCUAUUGAUGGAGUUCUUUUUGAUCUGGGGUGUUCCUCCAUGCAACUUGAUGCUCCUGAACGAGGUUUCUCCCUUCGGAAGGAUGGCCCCUUGGACAUGAGGAUGGAUGGAGACAGGUAUCCUGACAUGCCCACUGCAGCUGAUGUUGUGAAUGCUUUAGAUCAACAAGCACUUGCAUCUAUCCUAAGAGCAUAUGGAGAGGAGAAGCAUGCCAAGAAAAUUGCUUCUGCAAUCAUUCAAGCACGCAGCAUAUACCCUAUCUCUAGAACCCAGCAGCUUGCCAGCAUUGUUGCAGGGAUGACAUGACUUUUAGGAAAAAGAAAAAUAAUCAUCUUUUCCUGCAUUGGGACAUGUAAAGCAUAUCUUUCCACAGAAAUAAAUUUACUGUUGAAAUGUCAAUUGAUACUUUAAGUAACAAGAAGAGUUGCUAUAGUAAUACAGUGCUUAUUAGGAUGAAGUUAGAAAAUAAGACUGGUGAAAAUUGAACACUGUAUUAAAGGAUCCCAGGCGAAAGGACACGAGUUGCGUCACAGAGACUUAUUAAAUGUGAUGGAAACUCAGCAGAUGAAUACCAGCAAACAGGUGCAAGAGCUCAAUUAAUUUUUAAACCCUACGACUCAGGAGGAUUGCAAUGCAUCGUGUUGACAGCCACAGCACGUUGCUAAUUUCAUCCACGAGCUUAAAAAUCUCAAUACAUUAGAGCAUGUGAAUGUAUUAAAUUUUUAAAAAGUGUGAGUAGUACUAGGGUAUCCUAAAACGAAAAAUGUUAAUUUCUCUAUGGGACUUGAAAUCAUUUAUCUAGUGAAAAGAUGGUGUUUUUUUUCUAUUACUGUACUCUGACUGCUUUCAUGUACAAAUUGAGUUCCAUUAUUAUGUGUAAUAUAGACUGCUGUUAUUAAGUUAUGGCUUUGUAACUCAGAAAAAAAAAAAAAAACAACUAACAGUUCAUGAAGUAUCCAGCUUCUUUGGUGACAUGUGAAGGAAGUUUGCAACCCAUGCAGUGGUGGUAUUAGGUGCCAAGAGAAUGCUGAAGUCUUUUUGCAUGACAUGAUUGAAAAUGAUAAGUUAGGGACAAAAAGUUGAGCCAACAUAGUUUGCUUUCACCAGGAAUUAACCUUAUGUGGGGUUCUGGGACCAUUUCAGCAUGUGAUGGAGAUGAGGGUUGGUCAUCUCCACAUAACCUUGCACACAUGAACAGUCUUAUGGGACCAUUUGAGAAUUUGAAACAAUCUCCAGGGAACAUCUCCACAUAAUCCUGUACACAUGAGCAGCCUUAGGAAGAGAUGAGUACCACUUCCUGUACAUCAUUAUCUCUGACUCAGAUUGGUAAGAUAGCUCUUAUCCAGUGGGUUUUCCUCCUUGUCACCAUCACUAAUCUGUCUGUGUGCCUGGGAUUGGUAAAUAAGAGUUAGUUCCUGGCCUUUUUACAACUUAGUAUGAACUGAAACUCACAGUGCAGAGUACUAAGUUGAAAUAUGUGGUAAAAAAAAAAAAAAAAAAUAGGGCAUCUUGGUGAGUAUUAAAGGUAAGUAGAUAGAAACUUCAAGAAGAAAGAAAAGGCAUCCUUAGUCAAAGGAAAGGGUUUUGCAGGGGCUGGAGAAGAAAGCCAGGCAUGCUACCCUCUUACUGUUAAAAACCAUGUGUUUAUGAUGAAUGUGUAACAACAAGUGUUUGGAAAACAUUUUAUCUUCUCUGUCAAGAUUUCCGAAGAAGCUUUAAAGAAAAUAAAAGGAGCUGGGCUUAAUUCUUCAAGAUUUUUGCCAGGAAAAAAAAACUACUCUGUUUUAUAUAUAAACUUAACUUCUCCCUAUUUUUGCUUAACUGGAGCAUAUUUAGCAAUCCUAUUUAAAACAUAAAAACAACUGUAAUGUACGUCCUUGCUAACAGGUGAACUGAGUACAUUUUGAUUCUUAAUCAGAUACAUGUAAUCUGCACCUACCCAAACAUCUAGAUAAUGGCACCAGUCACAACUGUUGCUUUUAUAAACCCACUAUCAAGGAAGCAAAUGAAAAGGGGAGACAAAUGUGCAGUCUAAUAACCUGAGCUAACAAUAAGUUAUUUUCAAUAGAAUGAAAAGAACAAAAGCCAAAGAGAUUCAUUUCCAUUCCCAGGUUAUGAGCCCAGGAAGGUUGCUGCUCUCACCAGAUGCACAGUCUUUAGGGUUGACAAUGCACAUCUCCCCCAGGGACAUGCAGAGAGAAAGCCAAACUCUUGCAACUUGAUGCAGAGAGAUUUGACGUCCAUUAAAACAUCUCUCAAUAACAAGCUAUUCAGGUGUAGAGUAAAGAUUCUAUACUUUUUUUUCCCCAGAAAAUGAGAUUGUUGCAUAAAACACCUGACAUGGAAUCAGAGCCUGUGUAAACCAUGCUGAACCUGGUGCUAUCAUUUCAGCUUCCUUCCUCCUAACUAGGAAAGAGGAGAUGAGGAGAUUUGCUGAACAUACCGUCUUAAAAUUGCUGCCUUAUUUUGAACACAUUUAAGUCCAAGAUGAUCCUAAAGACAAUGAAUUAUAUUUAAACUCCUAUGAUGAAUUUUAACAACAACAAACAGCACUGAUCUGAACUUCUCUAAGUGUCGGAUAAACUGCUCAGAAAUCUUCAUUUUAUUUUAGAGUUUUUAGAUGCACUAUUUUUUACCAACAAGGUAGAUUAGUGGUGUUUAAAGUCAUGGGGUUCAUCUGCAUACAAUACGUGCAAACUUUGGAAGCAACGUUUGACCCCUUGGUUUUUUUGUUUGUUUGCUUUUUGUUUUGUUUGUUGUUGUUUAGCUCUAUUUCGAAUAUAAGGAUGACUGCUUCUUACCUCUUAUAAUUUGAGUAAGGAUUUAUUGACAUAAUUAAAGUACAUAAACAUGAUUAACAGAAAGUCUGCUUUCAGCGUUUCCCAAGUGUUACCUGUAAAAUAAAUGAUAUGGAGUAAUUAGUUUUUGAAAAUAAAAGCAGCUGGAGAGAUGGCUCGGUGGAUUAAAUGUUUGCCAUGCAAACCAAGUACUGGAGUUUGGAUCCCCAGUAUCCACAUAAAAGCCAGGUGUCUGCAUCCUGGAGGCAGAGACAGAAUCAGGGCCAAGAUGACUAGUUAGACUAGCCUGAAUUGGUGAGCUUCGUGUUCAGGAUGAGACCUUUCCUUAAUAUACAGAGUGAAAAGUUAUUGAGGAAGACACUUAAUGUUAGCUCCUCCACUUAAUGCCUACGCACUUGUGCACACACACAUGUGCAUACAUACAUACAUACAUACAUACAUACACACACACACAGAGUCUCAUAUAUGUGAACACAUGUGUAUACCACACAAACCCUUGAAGAACAGUGAGUAAUAAAGAACUUUUAAAUAGUUAUUCUUAAGACUUUACCAUGGUCAUUGUGGCUUUGCAGAGGAAUGUGGCAUCCUGCAUUUUCUAUACACGUGUGACAGAAAUGUUCUGUUGUUUGGUUGGGAUUUGAGGGUGUUACAUUUUACUAUGCCACUUUCCUGAAAACAUCAGUUUAGAAAAUGUAGGUAGACAACCAGGAAUCUUCCUUCUCUUUUUACUCUGUGUUAGUGUGCACCAUGUCUUUGGUAGCAGUCGGCAUAACAUUGGCUUUUCAUUCUUAGUAAAGGGUUUGAAUUUCUUGAGGUCAGUGAUGACAUACUUUUAAGUGUUUUAAUCCUCGGUGUUUAGCCUAUAAAAAAUUUUAAAUGUUGGCUAAAUGAAUGAUUGGUGUAUUGUUAAGUGUAUGCAUUUGUUAGGUCUUGCAGAAUAUUUUUUGUGACAUUCUGGACUGUAAUUGUUUUAGUCUAGAGGUUUUCUACUGGUAACUUUAUAUGCACAUCAGCUAAUAGUCAGACUAAAUAAAUGGACCAGCAGAGCAAGACUGUGAAGACAAAGGAGUGGAUUAAAAUGACUCACAAUCUAUUUUAUUGUUGUGGAACUAUGCUUAAGAAAGAAGAUACCUGUGGAAAAAGAUAUCCUAUGAAAGCUACAGAAAAAGAAACAGAAACAGAAAAAAUAUAUAAUUAAAAAAUAAAAAUGUUGUACUCUUAAAAUAACAGAAUACAAGUUGUAUAAUUUAUAUUGCAAGAGAAAUUUAGAAGUUUAAUUAUGGAAAAUAAUCUCCUGGCCAGAUGGUUGAAACAUAAUCUGGAUGGUUUAUGUUAAUGAAGUUCAGGUUCAUCUUCAUAGCACCAGUUAUUAAAUAGCCAACAUCAAGUGUAAUACGAAUUCUACAUCCUCAUCUUUUAAAUAUAUAUAAGCAAUACUUUGUAAAUUUGGUGAUGUAUCAUUAAUUUGUGCAUUAGAGACAUUUUGUACUUUCUUUUGGAUGCUGACCUCUCCUAUUAUACUAUAAUAAGUGUUUGGCAAAUCCUUAAUGUCUAAUACCCACUCUGUUUUACAGCUGAGAAUAAGAGAAAAGUAAAUGUGUGAAUGGUAUCCACCAGGGACUUUUUCCCCCUAAAUGUACGCUAAAUGCUCCUUGAAUGCUUCUAAUAUUUCAUAUUCACAAUAAUCCCAUGUUCCAGAGUUAUAAAUGUGACAUCUUACCACUGGAUGACAAACUCAGAGGCUAAGUAUGUUGCCUCAUGCCCACAGCAAUAAAGAGAAAGGCUUUCCUGAAGUUAGGACCAUUUCUGUUAUCCAAUGCUGUCUUUCUAGAAGCAUGACCUUUCCUAUGCUUUUCCCUAGUAAGAUGUGUUUGUGUAAAUGGUGUACUUAGAGAUGCUUGACCAUGACCUAGAUGACCACAGCUAUUAAACUAUAGUGACAACAUGUAAAAUAUUAACAGAAAUACUGUGUUCUUUAGAUGGAUUGGUUUAAUAUUAAGGUAAUGUUAAUUAUUAUUAUUCACAUUAGCCUAUAAAGUUACUGCAGUCCUAAUUAUACUACUGUUUUUGUAUAUGCUUCAUUAAUUAUUUAUUUAAUUUGGAAUGAUAAAUGCAAGAGAAAUGUCCAACACAACUUUGAAAAGAAGGUUAGUUAUGAACUAGUAAGGUUACCCCAAGUGACAAAACCUAGCAUAAGGAAGCAAUAAUCAGUAUUUAAAAAUAGUUUUGUAUUGGUAAAAAAUAGAGAAAUGCAUAAAUGUAAGACAAUUGAGAAUGCUGGAGUACUUUUAUCUGUAACUUGAAAUGCAGUAUAUCAUCAGAAUGAUGUGGUAAAUCAAUAGGAGAAAUGUAGCAUUUAUAAAAUAGCAGUGUGUUAAACCCUCAUACUGUAACAGAAGUUAUUUUUCAUGUGAAUCAAAUACUUAAGCAUAUAAACAAAACCAGAAAUAUAUCCAGAAUAAAGCUGAUAAUGUUGGA
Molecule: RNA transcript, 6074 nt
Organism: Peromyscus californicus insignis
Lineage: Eukaryota; Metazoa; Chordata; Mammalia; Rodentia; Cricetidae
Gene: Mettl15
Gene name: methyltransferase like 15
Exons: 8
Source: RefSeq, a predicted model, not a curated record